This is a long non-coding RNA of Cryptomeria japonica (Japanese cedar), 374 nucleotides long. RefSeq lists it as uncharacterized. Lineage: Eukaryota; Viridiplantae; Streptophyta; Pinopsida; Cupressales; Cupressaceae. The transcript has 3 exons. The record is from RefSeq and is a predicted model, not a curated record.
GGAGCGGAUUGCAUCUCAACAGGAAAUUAAAAAGGCCUACCACAAGUUGGCAUUAUAGCUGCAUCCUGACAAAAAUCAAAAUGACGAGAAUGCCAAUGAAAAGUUCCAGAAAUUGCAAAAAGUAAUGUCAAUACUUGGAGAUCCAGAGAAGAGAAAACUUUAUGAUGAGACUGGUUGUGUUGAUGACCAGGACCUUGCUGGGGAUGCAGUUCAGAAUCUAUGUGAUUUUCUCAGGACGUUGUAUAAAGAGGUGACUAAUGCUAGUUGUAUGCUGAUUUAUGCGGUUUAGAAUUUAGAUGGCGGCCACAUUUAAAUUAUAGAGAAUGGUUAUGGUUGUAGCCAUGGUUAACAGAUUUGAAAAAUUGUAUUUGUUU